RNAcentral lists this ribosomal RNA (469 nucleotides) under uncultured bacterium. RNAcentral's name for it is "partial 16S ribosomal RNA". It matches the Rfam family "Bacterial small subunit ribosomal RNA", at positions 28 to 507 of the family's 1533-position model. The record is from RNAcentral.
GACGAACGCUGGCGGCGUGCUUAACACAUGCAAGUCGAACGGUGAAGCGAGUGCUUGCACUCGUGGAUCAGUGGCGAACGGGUGAGUAACACGUGAGUAACCUGCCCAUCACUCUGGGAUAAGCACUGGAAACGGUGUCUAAUACUGGAUACGACCAACCCUUGCAUGGGGUGUUGGUGGAAAGAUUUAUCGGUGAUGGAUGGACUCGCGGCCUAUCAGCUUGUUGGCGGGGUAAUGGCCCACCAAGGCGACGACGGGUAGCCGGCCUGAGAGGGUGACCGGCCACACUGGGACUGAGACACGGCCCAGACUCCUACGGGAGGCAGCAGUGGGGAAUAUUGCACAAUGGGCGAAAGCCUGAUGCAGCGACGCCGCGUGAGGGAUGACGGCCUUCGGGUUGUAAACCUCUUUCAGCAGCGAAGAAGCGAAAGUGACGGUACCUGCAGAAGAAGCACCGGCUAACUACGUG